GACUCGGUAGUCUAGGAGUAUGACCCUCGCUUAGGGUGCGAGAGGUCCCGGUUUCAAUUCCCGGUCGAGCCCA
Molecule: non-coding RNA, 73 nt
Organism: Trichonephila clavata
Lineage: Eukaryota; Metazoa; Arthropoda; Arachnida; Araneae; Nephilidae
Source: the annotation of a GenBank genome assembly